This 389-nucleotide RNase P RNA is filed under the name Pseudomonadota bacterium. RNAcentral describes it as "Proteobacteria bacterium (activated sludge metagenome) RNase P RNA component class A". It matches the Rfam family "Bacterial RNase P class A". Rfam says of the family: Ribonuclease P (RNase P) is a ubiquitous endoribonuclease, found in archaea, bacteria and eukarya as well as chloroplasts and mitochondria. Lineage: Bacteria; Pseudomonadati; Pseudomonadota. The record is from RNAcentral.
ACAGAGGGUUGGAGGAUCGCUCUUUAUGUUGAAGGCAUAAAGGGAGGAAAGUCCGGGCUCCACGGGAAAAGAAUGCUGGAUAACACCCAGCGAGGGAAACCUUAGGGAAAGUGCAACAGAAAGUAUACCGCCAUUUUUUUGGUAAGGGUGAAACGGCGUGGUAAGAGCACACCGCUUUUUUGGUAACAAAAAAGGCACGGCAAACCCCAUUCGGAGCAAGACCAAAUAGGAGCAACAUGUUUUUUGAGUCCUCUCAAAAAACAGAUGCUUUCCCGCAUCGUUGUUCGGGUCGGUCGCGCGAGGCAAAGGGUAACCUUUGUCCCAGAGGAAUGAUUCUCAUUUAAGUUUUUGCUUAAAAACAAAACCCGGCUUAUAGACCCUCUGUUUCU